RNAcentral lists this ribosomal RNA (497 nucleotides) under uncultured bacterium. Its description in RNAcentral is "partial 16S ribosomal RNA". It matches the Rfam family "Bacterial small subunit ribosomal RNA", at positions 28 to 507 of the family's 1533-position model. The record is from RNAcentral.
GAUGAACGCUGGCGGCGUGCCUAAUACAUGCAAGUCGAGCGAACAGAUGAGGAGCUUGCUCCUCUGACGUUAGCGGCGGACGGGUGAGUAACACGUGGAUAACCUACCUAUAAGACUGGGAUAACUUCGGGAAACCGGAGCUAAUACCGGAUAAUAUAUUGAACCGCAUGGUUCAAUAGUGAAAGACGGUUUUGCUGUCACUUAUAGAUGGAUCCGCGCCGCAUUAGCUAGUUGGUAAGGUAACGGCUUACCAAGGCAACGAUGCGUAGCCGACCUGAGAGGGUGAUCGGCCACACUGGAACUGAGACACGGUCCAGACUCCUACGGGAGGCAGCAGUAGGGAAUCUUCCGCAAUGGGCGAAAGCCUGACGGAGCAAGGCCGCGUGAGUGACGAAGGUCUUCGGAUCGUAAAACUCUGUUAUUAGGGAAGAACAAAUGUGUAAGUAACUAUGCCCGUCUUGACGGUACCUAAUCAGAAAGCCACGGCUAACUACGUG